Molecule: ribosomal RNA, 210 nt
Filed under: Clostridioides difficile
Lineage: Bacteria; Bacillati; Bacillota; Clostridia; Peptostreptococcales; Peptostreptococcaceae
Description: partial 16S ribosomal RNA
Rfam family: Bacterial small subunit ribosomal RNA
Source: RNAcentral
ACUGAGACACGGUCCAAACUCCUACGGGAGGCAGCAGUGGGGAAUAUUGCACAAUGGGCGAAAGCCUGAUGCAGCAACGCCGCGUGAGGGAUGAAGGCCUUCGGGUCGUAAAACUCUGUCCUCAAGGAAGAUAAUGACGGUACUUGAGGAGGAAGCCCCGGCUAACUACGUGCCAGCAGCCGCGGUAAUACGUAGGGGGCUAGCGUUAUC